UACGUAGGUGGCGAGCGUUGUCCGGAUUUACUGGGCGUAAAGGGAGCGUAGGCGGACUUUUAAGUGAGAUGUGAAAUACCUGGGCCUAACUUGGGUGCUGCAUUUCAAACUGGAAGUCUAGAGUGCAGGAGAGGAGAAUGGAAUUCCUAGUGUAGCGGUGAAAUGCGUAGAGAUUAGGAAGAACACCAGUGGCGAAGGCGAUUCUCUGGACUGUAACUGAUGCUGAGGCUCGAAAGCGUGGGGAGCAAACAGGAUUAGAUA
This 261-nucleotide ribosomal RNA is filed under the name uncultured prokaryote. RNAcentral's name for it is "partial 16S ribosomal RNA". It matches the Rfam family "Bacterial small subunit ribosomal RNA", at positions 524 to 784 of the family's 1533-position model. The record is from RNAcentral.